GACGAACGCUGGCGGCGUGCUUAACACAUGCAAGUCGAACGAUGAAACCUAGCUUGCUAGGUCGAUUAGUGGCGAACGGGUGAGUAACACGUGACUAACCUGCCCCUUUCUCUGGGAUAACGCUCCGAAAGGAGUGCUAAUACCGGAUACUCACACCGAGGCACAUGCCUUGGUGUGGAAAGUUUUUCGGAAAGGGAUGGAGUCGCGGCCUAUCAGCUUGUUGGUGAGGUAACGGCUCACCAAGGCGACGACGGGUAGCCGGCCUGAGAGGGCGACCGGCCACACUGGGACUGAGACAUGGCCCAGACUCCUACGGGAGGCAGCAGUGGGGAAUAUUGCACAAUGGGCGCAAGCCUGAUGCAGCGACGCCGCGUGAGGGAUGAAGGUCUUCGGAUUGUAAACCUCUUUCAGUAGGGAUGAGGCGAAAGUGACGGUACCUAAAGAAGAAGCACCGGCUAACUACGUGCCAGCAGCCGCCGCCG
This 482-nucleotide ribosomal RNA is filed under the name uncultured bacterium. RNAcentral's name for it is "partial 16S ribosomal RNA". It matches the Rfam family "Bacterial small subunit ribosomal RNA", at positions 28 to 523 of the family's 1533-position model. The record is from RNAcentral.